GACGAACGCUGGCGGCGUGCUUAACACAUGCAAGUCGAACGGAAAGGCCCUGCUUGCCGGGUACUCGAGUGGCGAACGGGUGAGUAACACGUGGGUGAUCUGCCCUGCACUUCGGGAUAAGCCUGGGAAACUGGGUCUAAUACCGGAUAGGAGCCAUUUUUAGUGUGAUGGUUGGAAAGUUUUUUCGGUGUAGGAUGAGCUCGCGGCCUAUCAGCUUGUUGGUGGGGUAAUGGCCUACCAAGGCGGCGACGGGUAGCCGGCCUGAGAGGGGGGACGGCCACAUUGGGACUGAGAGACGGCCCAGACUCCUACGGGAGGCAGCAGUGGGGAAUAUUGCACAAUGGGCGCAAGCCUGAUGCAGCGACGCCGCGUGGGGGAUGACGGCCUUCGGGUUGUAAACGCCUUUCGCUAGGGACGAAGCUUUGUGUGACGGUACCUAGAUAAGAAGCACCGGCUAACUACGUG
This 465-nucleotide ribosomal RNA is filed under the name uncultured bacterium. RNAcentral's name for it is "partial 16S ribosomal RNA". It matches the Rfam family "Bacterial small subunit ribosomal RNA", at positions 28 to 507 of the family's 1533-position model. The record is from RNAcentral.